Molecule: long non-coding RNA, 3217 nt
Organism: Panicum virgatum (switchgrass)
Lineage: Eukaryota; Viridiplantae; Streptophyta; Magnoliopsida; Poales; Poaceae
Exons: 5
Source: RefSeq, a predicted model, not a curated record
UGAAAUCGUACAUGCCGUACAUGUGAAAUGCUCUCAAGCGCCGAGGAGGCACCUAUCUUUAAGAAACCCGAUGUGCCAAACAUCUCCCCCGGCCACGCCGCCGUCCCCGACGAAGCCCCGCACCAUCCAGUUCUUGUCCUUCUCCCUUGCCUCCUCUCCCUGCGGGACGCCACCGUAGCCGAGCCCAAGCCGAGGCGGUAGGGCGGGAUCUGCGCGGGAGACGGGUGGAAGCUCCUCGCGGGCACCGUACGGUUGAGUCGGCAGCUUUGUGCUUGGUGCAAGCAGGGCUGCGCAAGGGGUGGCCUUGGAGGACCUGGGACGCAUUGCGUAACUGGAGCACAAGGAGGGUGCAGCUCGGGUCGUCGCCAGCGUGGCCGACAUUCCCGUCGAGGGCUCCGCUGGCCCAUUUUCUCCUCCGACCAUCACCGAUGCUACUGUAGAUCCGGCAUCUAUGUACCCGCUGUCCAGGUACAUCCGCUUUGACCCUAACAUCUCUCUCCCUCGCAUGGUGUAUCAGUGAAAUAAGGUCGAAAUCGUUAAAUUGUCUUUCCCUUUUGUAAAUCCUUCUAUACUCCACACAUUCCUUCCAAUUUCCUCUGCAGCUUCUUCAGGUUCUGUAUCAAUUAUCUAGGUGCAAACUUCUUGCAGUUUAGUUAGCCUAAUUGAUUGAAUUAGAAUAUCCAGAGAUCAUUUAUUUUAUUUUGCAGAUUUGCCUUGCAGGUUGCUCAAGGAAUGCUACAUUUUUGUAUCAAGCCACUGUUGUUACUUGUUAGAAUGUACAAUGGUUUUCAGCACAAGAAUGAAGAAAAAUUAUGCUGAUAUAAAAGAAUCUGAACUAGACAUAUAGUUAUUGUAAUCUGUCCCUUGGUUGUAUUAAACUGGGUCUGGGUCUCUAUUUCCUCAUUUUUUUAAAAACAAAACUACACAGAAACAAUAGUAAUUGUUGUGGUUUCAUAUCAUGCAAAAUUCGUCUUCACCUAUAGAAAUUCUAAAGGAAAGUACAGACACAGUACAGCCUGAAAGGCAUGAGUUUUUGUGCGUCCAGGUAAGUGUUCCCAUGCCUGAAGAACUAAGUUCAGCUGCAUCACAAGAUUGAAAGAUCAGUUCAACUCUGGCUGGCCAGUUCUUGAAAUCUUUGAGUUUUUCCUGUUGCUCACUAAGUCUAUUUAAAAUACCAAUUGAUGCUCUUAUGUAAAGUAUCAACAUUGUUUAUGUGAUAUUUGAUUUCAAACAUUAUACGGAAAGAUUUGUCCAGCUAUGCAUUUGAUGUGCUGAAUUAGUCACUAUUUGAGGCAUUAACACAUACAUAAUAACCUCUGCUUAAACUUUGUUAAGUAGUAGCAUGUCUGCUUAUCUAAAGCAAUCUUAGGAUACAGACUCAUUAUUUUCCAGUUUUGUGUAGUUUCGUAAGAGAUUUUAGUUUCAGCAUGCAGACUCAUUAUUUUUCACUUUGGUGCAGGUUCACAAUAGAUUUUCUUUCGAUAUGAACUACUGGAAUAUUACUAACCAACUUGAAUAUGGUACGAGUUACAAAUGAUGCCCCUCUCCAUCCGAUGUCCCUGCACACCAUUGUUACUAUUUUGUAUUUCAGCAAGAAAUCGAUUGUACUUCUGUAGACUUUUUAAAUUCACCGAUGAAUUCUGACAAAGUUCCUGAGGAGCUUUAGAUCAUGGAAAGACAAAAGCUGAGGAGCCAAGGAGCUCUGCUAAGACAUGUGCUCCCAGUUCUGAUUGGAAUUAUGCUUAGAAGCUACAAGUAGAAUCAGACUUCUGGAAUUAGCCUCUUCGAUCCAGUUCAGACAUUAAUUAGGCCGCCUCAUAGGAUUUGGAUUGUGGAUAGCAUAUCCACAAGCACAACUGAUAUAUUUGGAGUCUGAACUAUGGUUUCAUGUGCUAUGAAAAACAGUGGACACAAUAUUAGAUUUGGAGAUAAAUUGCUUCUGAUGAAAGAGGACAUAAGCAUCUAAGCAAAUUGUCCUUCUGCAAAGGCUGCCAUGCAGGGUGUUGCAUUACCUAAAGACCUGCACAAAAAGUUGGAAAUCAACACUGCUAGUUGUGCAACAUGGAUCAUCGUAAGAAUUCCUUUAUCAUGAUUUAAAGAAACUCACAUUGCACCAGUCAUUAUAGCAAACAAGAUGUUGAUGACGUCUCCUCCUGAGUAACCUUUGCUAAGAAUCAACUUGCCGCCGUACCAUAUGGCUAAUCCAUAGCUUGAGAAAAAUAUAAAGAAAACAGAACCCAUGCCAAAACCAUUUGUAAUUCCUUCCUCAACAGCUGCCUUAUAUGCCUUGUGUAUGAGUUUAUUGUAGGUUGCAAUAGCCUGCUUCUCACCGUUGAAGGAGACCACCUGUUUUGCAGAUGUAGCCACAGGAAAACUGGUGAGUGCAUGCCACAUUGAAACAAAAUGUAGAGGUUUCUCCUUCACAAUUCAAUCUCUGAGUGCAUUGAACUCACUGUCUUAAUGUUACCAAGCGUCUGUUCAACUACAUUCCCUGCAUCGCCAUAUGAUGUUUGCCCCUUGCUAGAGAUUCUAGAGAGCAUUUUUGAGACAAUUCCUCCAGCAACGACAACGGGAGGUAUGCUUGCCAACAUGACAAGAGAUAAAAGCCAUCCUUUUACGAAUGCUAUUACAAAGCCACCUAUGAAGGUAGCAAUAAGUUGUUGGAACUUGCCGACCUGUAGAGUUUUGUAAGAGUUAGAUUGUGGAAGUUUUGAUAUAAUAAGCUGGUGAGGCAACAGAAAGUUUGAUUUUGCGGUCUUCAUUUUCAUAGCGGGGAGCUAUUACCUUUUCACCAAUGGCAUCCUGAACCAACACGGUAUCUCCAGACAUCCUUGAAACAAUUUGCCCAGUUGUCAUUUCUACAUCAAAGAAUGCUAUUUCUUGCCUCAAGACAGAUUUGAGGUACAGAGAUCGAAUGUGUGUUGCCUGUCUUUCUCCUGUCAUUGUCCAGCAUGACACCUCUGCACAAACAACGCAAUGGAUUCAAUUCUAUUGGUAAAAACACCAUAUAAAUGCCUUAAACAUGUAGUAGAACUCUGUUUCAGAUUUUUCUAAAUUUAGUUUGCUGAUGAAGCAAUGUUUUAAUCAUACACUUUUCUUGUAUCUCUUUCCGUGGAAGUUCAAAACACGUUGGUUAUGUAACCACUAUUAUGAACUGCUGAGCACAAACUUUCUAUACCCUUCUUUGAAAGUAUAUAACAAAGUUAAAGUUGGACUC